Molecule: long non-coding RNA, 523 nt
Filed under: Parus major (Great Tit)
Lineage: Eukaryota; Metazoa; Chordata; Aves; Passeriformes; Paridae
Description: lncRNA (ENSPMJG00000015878.1)
Source: RNAcentral
UUUCUUUUAGAAGACAUUGAAUUUUACAUUGAACUGCAUAAUCUCUUAAUUUGCUAUCCUUUUGCCCUUAGGAAAGUGAUGCAAAAAAUUGAUGCAUUUGAUCCUGUGAGAGGUUUUCAGGGAAUAUGUCAUCAUGGGUAUUCCACACCCAUAUUCCCCUUCUCCAUUUCCCACUUUACAUAUGAAGAACCUGAGAUAUCUGAAAACCUCCUCCUAACAACAAGUAUUUGUAUGAAAAAAAUUAGGAACUUGAUAUUUAGCUUGUUGAAGUCUGGUGGGAAAUGCAAGAAGAUGAAGCAAUAUCUCACAGCUGUGGAAAGAGGAUCACAGGUGUACCUACGUGAUGUCUCAACCUUUUAAAUAAGAAAAAUAAUAUGCUGUGCAUGAAAUAUUGGAACUUGAAUAUUACAGGUAAUUAAAUGUAUAUGUGCGUCUGUUCAUUCAAAAUUUGAUGUAAUUUGUUUUGUAUUUCCAUUUGCUUAAAACAGUUCCUGCUUUCUGUAUGUACUCCUUUAAAACGUGU